UUAAGGGUUGGCAGGGGAGGCAAAGCUAUUUCAUUGAAGAUCCCUGUAUACUUGAGGCCUUCUAAAGAACAAUCCCCUCAGAUCCAGAAGCCAUUUGUGAAGAUUUCUGGAGUCGGUGUCUGCCACAGAGAUUUCUCUGGAGUCUUAAGGACUACUCCAAAGAUCAGAGAUGUGUAUCACGGUAGUCCAUGUGAGUUUUUCCAUUAUCCUGUUUUGGAGUGUGAUUCUUGACUGUGAGAACAGGGACCAUGGCUGAAGAGGCAGCUGGAACUAAGGAACCAUGGGUGGCUGCAGGAGAAAAAUCAGCCCUCAGAAAGCCAGCCAUCAGUGCAGUCGUCCAGGCCAUCGUGCUCCAAUGAUGGGGAAAGCGAAGCUCAACCAACCUGAUUGCUGCUCUCCAGUGGCAAGCAGGCCGGUCAGAUGGGGAAGCUGAGUGUCUUUCAUAUGCGGAUGUCUGCACCAUGAGUGCAGGCUUAAUUAGAAUUUUCCAAUUAGCUGAUUGCAAAUUUUUAUGAGGUUAACUAGUGGUAACCUCCACAUCACUCAUAGCAGGGGCAUUAGGGUUUAUAGGCCUUAAAAAUGCCACCAGCAGGUGGAGAACAAGUGACAUGAAUCACACACACAUGAGCACACAUGCACUCAAUCUCGAGCCAUUGCUGGAACUUGCAGAGUUGGAUUUUACAACUAGAAUACCAGUUCCCAAAUCCUUUCCAGUUGCAGCUUUACAUGUGGAUGCAAAUCGAACUUCUGGCUUAGCACAGAAACAGAAUUGUCAUCAUGCCUUCCUGAGGUUGCAGCCUGUAUGUUUGGAAGUGCUGUGUUAGAGACUUACAUGGCCUCUACAUAUGCUUCUGCUAACGUGAGAUGUUUGUGUAUUUAAAUGUAGCUUCCAUGUACAUCAUAUAUGUUAUGCUCAAAGUGAUAUUUCCAUCUUCAAAAUACUAUAAAAUUAUUGCCUGUCUUUGUAUAUUAUUCCAGCAAGAACAAGGACCUUGAGUUCUGUGUAUGUCAGUGGAAAGCUGCCUAAUGUUCCAUGCAUCUAAUGUGGCUUUUGUUAGUGGUUGCACUUGUGUUUUUCUGCAUACUGUAAUAUAUUAAGAAAUGCCUCUCAAUCUCAUGAGAUGUAACCAGGGAAAAGGGAGGCUGUGGUGAAGGCUCUGUGUUUCAUGCCUUCGUGCUGACCUUUGUAAAUUGAAUAAAUACAUGAAUU
Molecule: long non-coding RNA, 1210 nt
Organism: Gallus gallus (chicken)
Lineage: Eukaryota; Metazoa; Chordata; Aves; Galliformes; Phasianidae
Source: Ensembl